This 502-nucleotide ribosomal RNA is filed under the name Lactiplantibacillus plantarum. RNAcentral describes it as "bacterial SSU rRNA". It matches the Rfam family "Bacterial small subunit ribosomal RNA", at positions 53 to 521 of the family's 1533-position model. Lineage: Bacteria; Bacillati; Bacillota; Bacilli; Lactobacillales; Lactobacillaceae. The record is from RNAcentral.
UNNUGCAGUCGACGAACUCUGGUAUUGAUUGGUGCUUGCAUCAUGAUUUACAUUUGAGUGAGUGGCGAACUGGUGAGUAACACGUGGGAAACCUGCCCAGAAGCGGGGGAUAACACCUGGAAACAGAUGCUAAUACCGCAUAACAACUUGGACCGCAUGGUCCGAGCUUGAAAGAUGGCUUNGGCUAUCACUUUUGGAUGGUCCCGCGGCGUAUUAGCUAGAUGGUGGGGUAACGGCUCACCAUGGCAAUGAUACGUAGCCGACCUGAGAGGGUAAUCGGCCACAUUGGGACUGAGACACGGCCCAAACUCCUACGGGAGGCAGCAGUAGGGAAUCUUCCACAAUGGACGAAAGUCUGAUGGAGCAACGCCGCGUGAGUGAAGAAGGGUUUCGGCUCGUAAAACUCUGUUGUUAAAGAAGAACAUAUCUGAGAGUAACUGUUCAGGUAUUGACGGUAUUUAACCAGAAAGCCACGGCUAACUACGUGCCAGCAGCCGGCGGU